This 676-nucleotide ribosomal RNA is filed under the name Lactarius rubrilacteus. RNAcentral's name for it is "eukaryotic LSU rRNA". The stretch from base 249 to 402 matches the Rfam family "5.8S ribosomal RNA". The record is from RNAcentral. Lineage: Eukaryota; Fungi; Basidiomycota; Agaricomycetes; Russulales; Russulaceae.
CCUGCGGAAGGAUCAUUAUCGUACAACAUGUGUGAGGCGCGCGAGGGCUGUCGCUGACUUUUUGAAACACAAAAGUCGUGCACGCCGGAGCGUGUCCUCUCACAAUAAAAUCCAUCUCACCCUUUUGUGCACCACCGCGUGGGCACCUUUUGGGAUCGAACCGAUCCUGGAGGGGGCUUGCGUUUUCACACAAACCCCUUUUAAAAAGUGUAGAAUGACCCCACUUUGCGAUGACACGCAAUCAAUACAACUUUCAACAACGGAUCUCUUGGCUCUCGCAUCGAUGAAGAACGCAGCGAAAUGCGAUACGUAAUGUGAAUUGCAGAAUUCAGUGAAUCAUCGAAUCUUUGAACGCACCUUGCGCCCCUUGGUAUUCCGAGGGGCACACCCGUUUGAGUGUCGUGAAAAUCUCAACCUUCUCGGUUUUCUUCUGGACACCGAAGGAGGCUUGGACUUUGGAGGCCUUUGCUGGCAUCUCUCUCUUUUUGAGAGCCAGCUCCUCUUAAAUGAAUUAGCGGGGUCCUCUUUGCCGAUCCUCGACAUGUGAUAAGAUGUUUCCAUGACUUGGUUUCUGGCUCUGUUGCCUUUGGGACCCGCUCCUAACCGUCUCGACGAGACAACGUUUGGGCGUGUCUCCCUUCUCGGGAGACUCCUCGACCCCACGAACCCUGACCCA